This 322-nucleotide unclassified non-coding RNA is filed under the name soil metagenome. Its description in RNAcentral is "partial contains 5.8S ribosomal RNA, internal transcribed spacer 2, and large subunit ribosomal RNA". The stretch from base 1 to 120 matches the Rfam family "5.8S ribosomal RNA", at positions 35 to 154 of the family's 154-position model. The record is from RNAcentral.
GAUGAAGAACGUAGCGAAAUGCGAUAGGUAAUGUGAAUUGCAGAAUUCAGUGAGUCAUCGAAUCUUUGAACGCACAUUGCGCCCUGUGGUAUUCCGCAGGGCAUGCCUGUUCGAGCGUCAUUUCAACCCUCAAGCUCUGCUUGGUGUUGGGCCCUGCCCGCUGCGGCCGGCCCUAAAGACAGUGGCGGUGCCGCCUGGCCCUGAGCGUAGUACAUCUCUCGCUCCAGUGCCCGGUGGUAGCCUGCCAGAACCCCAACUCUCGUGGUUGACCUCGGAUCAGGUAGGGAUACCCGCUGAACUUAAGCAUAUCAAAAGCGGAGGA